RNAcentral lists this ribosomal RNA (342 nucleotides) under uncultured Gammaproteobacteria bacterium. RNAcentral's name for it is "bacterial SSU rRNA". It matches the Rfam family "Bacterial small subunit ribosomal RNA", at positions 30 to 342 of the family's 1533-position model. The record is from RNAcentral. Lineage: Bacteria; Pseudomonadati; Pseudomonadota; Gammaproteobacteria.
UGAACGCUGGCGGUCUGCUUAACACAUGCAAGUCGAACGAUCUAAACGUCAUAUUGUUAUUUUAACUUAUUUCAGAUAACAAUAUGGCGUUUAGAUAGUGGCGGACGGGUGAGUAACGCGUAGGAAUCUGCCAUACAGAGGGGGACAACAGUUGGAAACGACUGCUAAUACCGCAUAAUACCUUUGGGUCAAAGGUUGGGUAGUUAUUACCCAGUCGCUGUAUGAUGAGCCUGCGUUGGAUUAGCUAGUUGGUCAGGUAAAGGCUGACCAAGGCAAUGAUCCAUAGCUGUUCUGAGAGGAAGAUCAGCCACACUGGGACUGAGACACGGCCCAGACUCCUAC